This 254-nucleotide ribosomal RNA is filed under the name uncultured bacterium. RNAcentral describes it as "partial 16S ribosomal RNA". It matches the Rfam family "Bacterial small subunit ribosomal RNA", at positions 524 to 776 of the family's 1533-position model. The record is from RNAcentral.
UACGUAGGGUGCUAGCGUUGUCCGGAUUUAUUGGGCGUAAAGGGCUCGUAGGCGGCGUGUCGCGUCGGGAGUGAAAGCCCGCUGCUUAACGGCGGGUUGGCUUCCGGUACGGGCAUCGCUGGAGUGCGGCAGGGGAGACUGGAAUUCCGGGUGUAGUGGUGGAAUGCAUAGAGAUCCGGAGGAACACCAGCGGCGAAGGCGGCAUCCUGGACUGGUCCUGACACUCAGGAGCGAAAGCGUGGGGAGCGAUCCGG